GAUGAACGCUAGCUACAGGCUUAACACAUGCAAGUCGAGGGGAAACGGCAUUAAGUGCUUGCACUUUUUGGACGUCGACCGGCGCACGGGUGAGUAACGCGUAUCCAACCUGCCCCUUACCAGGGAAUAACCCGUUGAAAGACGGACUAAUGCCCUAUGCAGUCCUUUGACGGCAUCAGAUUAGGACUAAAGAUUCAUCGGUAUGGGAUGGGGAUGCGUCUGAUUAGCUUGUUGGCGGGGUAACGGCCCACCAAGGCAUCGAUCAGUAGGGGUUCUGAGAGGAAGGUCCCCCACAUAGGAACUGAGACACGGUCCUAACUCAUACGGGAGGCAGCAGUGAGGAAGAUUGGUCAAUGGGCGCUAGCCUGAACCAGCCAAGUAGCGUGCAGGACGACGGCCCUAUGGGUUGUAAACUGCUUUUAUGCGGGGAUAAAGUCACCCACGUGUGGGUGUUUGCAGGUACCGCAUGAAUAAGGACCGGCUAAUUCCGUG
This 492-nucleotide ribosomal RNA is filed under the name uncultured bacterium. RNAcentral's name for it is "partial 16S ribosomal RNA". It matches the Rfam family "Bacterial small subunit ribosomal RNA", at positions 28 to 507 of the family's 1533-position model. The record is from RNAcentral.